UGGGGAAUCUUGGACAAUGGGGGCAACCCUGAUCCAGCCAUGCCGCGUGAGUGAUGAAGGCCUUAGGGUCGUAAAGCUCUUUCGCCUGUGAAGAUAAUGACGGUAGCAGGUAAAGAAACCCCGGCUAACUCCGUGCCAGCAGCCGCGGUAAUACGGAGGGGGUUAGCGUUGUUCGGAAUUACUGGGCGUAAAGCGCACGUAGGCGGACCAGAAAGUUGGGGGUGAAAUCCCGGGGGCUCAACCCCGGGAACUGCCUCCAAAACUAUUGGUCUAGAGUUCGAGAGAGGUGAGUGGAAUUCCAAGUGUAGAGGUGAAAUUCGUAGAUAUUUGGAGGAACACCAGUGGCGAAGGCGGCUCACUGGCUCGAUACUGACGCUGAGGUGCGAAAGUGUGGGGAGCAAACAGGAUUAGAUACCCUGGUAGUCCACACCGUAAAACGAUGAAUGCCAGUCGUCGGGUAGCAUGCUAUUCGGUGACACACCUAACGGAUUAAGCAUUUCCCGGCCUGGGGAGUACGGUCGCAAGAUUAAAA
RNAcentral lists this ribosomal RNA (532 nucleotides) under uncultured bacterium. RNAcentral describes it as "bacterial SSU rRNA". It matches the Rfam family "Bacterial small subunit ribosomal RNA", at positions 355 to 899 of the family's 1533-position model. The record is from RNAcentral.